GAGUGACCAAUGAUCAUGGCCAAGAUGACCAAUGGAUGUGUCCAGGGUGACCAGUGUCCAUGGCCAGGCUGACCAAUGACCAUGGCCAAGGUGACCAAUAACAUGGCUAGGGUGACCAAUGGUCAUGACCAAGGUGACCAAUGACCAGGACCAGGGUGACCAAUGACUGUGUCCAGGAUGAUCAGUGACAGUGACCAGGUUGACCAACAGCCAUGACCAAAAAGUGACCAACGACCACAACCGUGGUGACCAAUAGCCAUGUCCAGAGUGACCAACAGCCAUGGCCAAGAUGACCAAUGGCCAUGGCCAAAGUGACCAAUACCCACUUGCAGAGUGACCAAUGACCAUGGUGACCAAUGACCAUGGCCAAGGUCACCAACAACCAUGGUCAAGGUGAGCAAUGACCAUGACCAGGGUGACCAAUGACCAUGGUGACCAAUGACCAUGGCCAAGGUGACCAGUGACCACAACCAGGGUGACCAGUGACCAUGGCCAAGGUGACCAGUGGUCAUAGCUGAGGUGAGCAAUGACCAUGACCAGGGUGACCAAUGACCAUGAUGACCAAUGACCAUGGCCAAGUUGACCAACAACCAUAGUCAAGGUGACCAAUGACCAUGGCCAAAGUGACCAAUGACCAUGACCAGGGUGACCAAUGACCAUGAUGACCAAUGACCAUGGCCAAGUUGACCAACAACCAUAGUCAAGGUGACCAAUGACCAUGGCCAAAGUGACCAAUGACCAUGACCAGGGUGACCAAUGACCAUGGUGACCAACAACCAUGACCAGGGUGACCAAUGACCAUGGUGACCAAUGACCAUGGCCAAGUUGACC
This is a long non-coding RNA of Myiozetetes cayanensis, 831 nucleotides long. RefSeq lists it as uncharacterized. Lineage: Eukaryota; Metazoa; Chordata; Aves; Passeriformes; Tyrannidae. The record is from RefSeq and is a predicted model, not a curated record. The transcript has 3 exons.